AUCCAGCUGACGAGCCCUAAAUAGGACGAAACGCGCAUCCUGGAU
Non-coding RNA from Schistosoma haematobium, 45 nucleotides. Lineage: Eukaryota; Metazoa; Platyhelminthes; Trematoda; Strigeidida; Schistosomatidae. The record is from Rfam.